UUAUCCUUAUUUCAAUUUGUACGAAAGGACUUUUGAAAAAAAAUAAUUUUUUAUUUAGAA
This 60-nucleotide transfer RNA is filed under the name Tylos punctatus. Its description in RNAcentral is "tRNA-Val". The record is from RNAcentral. Lineage: Eukaryota; Metazoa; Arthropoda; Malacostraca; Isopoda; Tylidae.